RNAcentral lists this transfer RNA (72 nucleotides) under Bos taurus (domestic cattle). It matches the Rfam family "tRNA". Rfam says of the family: Transfer RNA (tRNA) molecules are approximately 80 nucleotides in length. Their secondary structure includes four short double-helical elements and three loops (D, anti-codon, and T loops). RNAcentral also lists the same sequence under 2 other names. The record is from Rfam by way of RNAcentral. Lineage: Eukaryota; Metazoa; Chordata; Mammalia; Artiodactyla; Bovidae.
UCCCUGGUGGCUCAGACGGUAAAGCGUCUGUUUGUAAUGCAGGAGACCUGGGUUCGACCCCUGGGUUGGGAA